RNAcentral lists this ribosomal RNA (496 nucleotides) under uncultured bacterium. RNAcentral's name for it is "bacterial SSU rRNA". It matches the Rfam family "Bacterial small subunit ribosomal RNA", at positions 29 to 512 of the family's 1533-position model. The record is from RNAcentral.
AGUGAACGCUGGCGGCAGGCCUAAUACAUGCAAGUCGAACGGCAGCACAGCAGAGCUUGCUCUGUGGGUGGCGAGUGGCGGACGGGUGAGGAAUACAUGGGAAUCUGCCCAGUCGUGGGGGAUAACGUAUGGAAACGUACGCUAAUACCGCAUGCGCCCUACGGGGGAAAGUCGGGGACCGCAAGGCCUGACGCGAUUGGAUGAGCCCAUGUUCGAUUAGCUAGUUGGCGGGGUAAAGGCCCACCAAGGCGACGAUCGAUAGCUGGUCUGAGAGGAUGAUCAGCCACACUGGAACUGAGACACGGUCCAGACUCCUACGGGAGGCAGCAGUAGGGGAAUAUUGGACAAUGGGGGCAACCCUGAUCCAGCCAUGCCGCGUGAGUGAAGAAGGCCCUCGGGUUGUAAAGCUCUUUUGUCCGGAAAGAAAAGCAAUCGGUUAAUACCCGGUUGUUCUGACGGUACCGGAAGAAUAAGCACCGGCUAACUUCGUGCCAGC